This 962-nucleotide ribosomal RNA is filed under the name uncultured bacterium. Its description in RNAcentral is "bacterial SSU rRNA". It matches the Rfam family "Bacterial small subunit ribosomal RNA", at positions 8 to 942 of the family's 1533-position model. The record is from RNAcentral.
AGAGUUUGAUCAUGGCUCAGAACGAACGCUGGCGGCGUGGAUAAGACAUGCAAGUCGAGCGCUGAUUACAAGGUAGCAAUAUUUUGUAGUCGGAGCGGCGCAAGGGUGCGUAACACGUGGGUAAUCUGCCAUGAAGUUUGGAAUAACUUGCUGAAAGGCGAGCUAAUGCCGAAUGUGACCGUUGGGAGGCAUCUCCCGAUAGUCAAAGUUGGGGACCGUAAGGCCUGACGCUUCAUGAUGAGCCCGCGGCCUAUCAGCUAGUUGGUGAGGUAACGGCUCACCAAGGCUAAGACGGGUAGCUGGUCUGAGAGGACGACCAGCCACACUGGAACUGAGACACGGUCCAGACACCUACGGGUGGCAGCAGUCGAGAAUUUUUCACAAUGGGCGCAAGCCUGAUGGAGCGACGCCGCGUGGGGGAUGAAUGGCUUCGGCCCGUAAACCCCUGUCAUUUGCGAUCAAACCUUGUUAUUUAAAAGAUGACGAGCUGAUAGUAGCGAAAGAGGAAGGGACGGCUAACUCUGUGCCAGCAGCCGCGGUAAUACAGAGGUCCCAAGCGUUGUUCGGAUUCACUGGGCGUAAAGGGUGCGUAGGUGGCGAGGUAAGUCGGAUGUGAAAGCUCGGAGCUCAACUCCGAAAUGGCAUUGGAAACUACCUUGCUCGAGGGUUGGAGGGGGGACUGGAAUACUUGGUGUAGCAGUGAAAUGCGUAGAUAUCAAGUGGAACACCAGUGGCGAAAGGCGAGUCCCUGGACAACUCCUGACACUGAGGCACGAAAGCUAGGGGAGCAAACAGGAUUAGAUACCCUGGUAGUCCUAGCCGUAAACGGUGCACGUUUGCUGUAAAAGGAAUCGACCCCUUUUGUGGCGUAGCCAACGCGUUAAACGUGCCGCCUGGGAAGUACGGUCGCAGAUUAAAACUCAAAGAAAUUGACGGGGCCUGCACAAGCGGUGGGAGUAUGU